CUUGGCUUGCAUAUCAUCAGCUUUCAGUAAAAGAGAUAGCAGCAUGAGGCAAGCGGACGGACUAUGUUCAUGCAGACCAUCUUCAGUUAAGAGGUAUAUCCUGACAAAAACAUAACUCUUAGCUUCUUACAUAUGCGAUGAACAGAGCUCUAUGACAACUGUAUGAACUUACUUAUUUCUUUGGUCAAUUCUGUGGAUCAACUGUCCAGCGCUGGUGGUGGCGCAGGUGGAGUUUGCCUGCUCAAGGUCAGGGGAGAUAAAGCCUUCACCACAAUGCUCAUGCUUGGACGGAACUCGGCUUCAUAUUGCACACACAGAGCUGCUACCGCCCCAAGCUGUAUUAAGGU
This 347-nucleotide long non-coding RNA is filed under the name Hordeum vulgare. RNAcentral describes it as "long non-coding RNA (HVUL_LNC007861)". Lineage: Eukaryota; Viridiplantae; Streptophyta; Magnoliopsida; Poales; Poaceae. The record is from RNAcentral.